Molecule: ribosomal RNA, 460 nt
Filed under: uncultured bacterium
Lineage: Bacteria
Description: partial 16S ribosomal RNA
Rfam family: Bacterial small subunit ribosomal RNA
Source: RNAcentral
CCUACGGGUGGCAGCAGUGAGGAAUAUUGGUCAAUGGGCGCUAGCCUGAACCAGCCAAGUAGCGUGAAGGAUGACUGCCCUCUGGGUUGUAAACUUCUUUUACAUGGGAAUAAUGUGCAGUAUGUAUACUGCUUUGCAUCUACCUUAUGAAUACGGAUCGGCUAACUCCGUGCCAGCAGCCGCGGUAAUUCGGUGGGUCCGAGCUUUAUCCGGAUUUAUUGGGUUUAAAGGGAGCGUAGGCGGGUUGUUAAGUCAGGUGUGAAAGUUUGCGGCUCAACCGUGAAAUUGCAGUUGAUACUGGCAUCCUUGAGUGCAGUAGAGGUAGGCGGAAUUCGUGGUGUAGCGGUGAAAUGCUUAGAUAUCACGAAGAACACCGAUGGCGAAGGCAGCCUGCUGGACUGUAACUGACGCUGAGGCUCGAAAGUGUGGGGAGCAAACAGGAUUAGAUACCCCUGUAGUC